AUGGAAAAAGAUUUUCAUGCCUUUGCUAAAUCUGCCUGGAAUGCUACUUCCUCAUCUUCUUUCGUAGCAAAGUCUUCUUCUUUGGCAGGAUCUUUAAAAAGGUGGUGUAAGAAGAAAAAGCCUCUUCAAAAUGAGCUUUUGGAUCUGGAAGCUCGCAUCAAUCAACUUCAGCAACUUCCUUUCCAGCAGCAGGAUCACAAGUUAGAAACUUGUCUCACUGCUACAUAUGAGCACACUCUUUCUAAACUUAAUCAAUUCUAUAAGCAACGUAGUAAGAAUAAGUGCGCUGUGGCUGGUGACCGUAACACUAAAUUUUUCCACCAAGCUGUUGUCAAGCGUAGGAAGAGAAAUACCAUUUGUUCCGUUAAGGAUGAGAAUAAUAUGAUUAAUUUCAAUCCUACCGCUAUCAUGAAUACCUUUAUUAACUAUUUUCGUAUUGUGAGUAGACCUUACCUUUCCACUCAAUGGCCCGGCGGCUCUUUGGAUCCUACUUAUGUUCUUCCUGACAAUCAUGAGAUUUUACAGAUUCUUAAGGAUAUGAAACUCAAUGCUUCUCCAGGACCGGAUGGUUUUAAUUUUGAGUUCUAUUUAGCUACUUGGGACUGGAUUGGAGAUGAGGUAACUCAGCUUGUUAUUAACUUUUAUUUAACUGGAAUUCUUCCUCCGCACAUUAAUGACACCAACAUUGCUCUCAUUCCUAAAAAGCUUGUUCCUCAAGUGCCUAUGGACUACCGACCU
RNAcentral lists this ribosomal RNA (738 nucleotides) under Triticum aestivum (bread wheat). Its description in RNAcentral is "partial small subunit ribosomal RNA". The record is from RNAcentral. Lineage: Eukaryota; Viridiplantae; Streptophyta; Magnoliopsida; Poales; Poaceae.